This 526-nucleotide ribosomal RNA is filed under the name Chalara sp. RNAcentral describes it as "eukaryotic LSU rRNA". The stretch from base 160 to 313 matches the Rfam family "5.8S ribosomal RNA". The record is from RNAcentral. Lineage: Eukaryota; Fungi; Ascomycota; Leotiomycetes; Helotiales.
GUUCUGAGUUGGCGCAGGCCACUCUUCCACCCUUUGUUUAUAACACCUUUGUUGCUUUGGCGGGCCGCCCUAGGCCACCGGCGUCAGCUGGUGCGCGCCCGCCAGAGGCCCAAACAACCUGUCUUAUAGUGUUUGUCUGAGUAAAAACUUAAUUGUUAAAACCUUCAACAAUGGAUCUCUUGGCUCUGGCAUCGAUGAAGAACGCAGCGAAAUGCGAUACGUAAUGUGAAUUGCAGAGCUCAGUGAAUCAUCGAAUCUUUGAACGCACAUUGCGCCCCCUGGUAUUCCGAGGGGCAUGCCUGUUCGAGCGUCAUUAUCACCCCUCAAGCCUAGCUUGGUGUUGGGGCUCGCCCGCUGAGGGCGGCCCUUAAAAUCAGUGGCGGCGCCGUUAGGCUCUAAGCGUAGUAAUACUCCUCGCUACAGAGUCCUGGCGGUCCCCAGCCAAAACCCCCCAUUUUUUUAUGAUUGACCUCGGAUCAGGUAGGGUUACCCGCUGAACUUAAGCAUAUCAAUAAGCCGGAGGAAA